Molecule: long non-coding RNA, 656 nt
Filed under: Mus spicilegus (steppe mouse)
Lineage: Eukaryota; Metazoa; Chordata; Mammalia; Rodentia; Muridae
Description: lncRNA (ENSMSIG00000019535.1)
Source: RNAcentral
UUUAACAGUUGGGUCUUCACCUGCUUUGCUAGAAUUGCAAAAGCAAGACUUAACACCAGGUCACCAAGUCCCCUACCUAAUAACAGUCCCAAUUGUCAGGCAGUUGUGGGUCUUGGGUUGCUUUCCUCUAAGCAGGCUUGCUCCUUUGGCACGGCCUCAGGCAAAGGAAGGAAAGGCAGGCAGCACCACACCCAUCACUGGGGACCUGACUCACUAAGGCUUUGGGGACAAGCCAGACAUCUUUCAAGGCUAGGAGGACUAAGAGAAAAUAGGGUCUGUCCCUUUCCUGGUGUCUCCUUCUGGGAGUCACUAUACGUUUACUUUCUUGGCCUUUGGUUUAUUCUAGUGAAUCAGCAGACACUUCCAGGGAACCAAACAGUAACUGGAGUGGAGCUGUCAGGAAGCCUGUGGCACCUCCCCUCUCUUAGCCACAGCCAACUGUUCCGUGACAAGAGCCUCUUAUAAGUCAUCUGGACUCACACCCUGGGCUAGAAGAUUCAAGACCUUCUGGCAGGUGAGGGAAACCGCAGGUACACAAGUGUAAGUUGUGAGCUGCCUGCUGCUGGUGGAGGAGGUAAGUCUCCUCCCUGUGGAGGGCUGAUGUCCACUAAAGGACCUAGGGCUUUGACACAAUAAAGGAAAGUGCUCAAAGGCCA